AUGUGCCCGCCCGCGCCGCGGAAGUCGGCGCCGGCGCCAACGAGGAAGCGUGCGCCGCUGCAGCAGCGGCUCUUCUUCUACCCGGUGCCUCGCGACCUGAUCGCCGUCUUCGUCGCCGUGCCACAGUGCCGCUGUCGUGACAUAGUUGGACUCGAGCGGCCACCCAUCGAGAGUACGUACGACGUACGCGGUGCAUGGGCAGUGACCACCGCACAACGUGUCGUCGAGCUUGCCGAUGAGCGUUGUGGCGCAAGUAGCUUGGAAGAUCAUCCACAGAUCGAUCGUGGCAACGGUGCAGCAAUCAUCCUUGAUUAUCGUGCUUGCAAUGAUCCAAAGGCCAGAGGGAACAAACACAUGGAAGCAGCAGAGCAGGAGUCGGGCUCUGAAUUUUAUACAAGUGGGGGCCGAGAUCGACCGGGAAGAAGAAGGUAUCCGAUGCCCUGGACGCUUGCUGCUUGGAGCAUACUGCUCGCCGCCGGCUACCAUCGUUAA
This 492-nucleotide ribosomal RNA is filed under the name Triticum aestivum (bread wheat). RNAcentral describes it as "partial small subunit ribosomal RNA". The record is from RNAcentral. Lineage: Eukaryota; Viridiplantae; Streptophyta; Magnoliopsida; Poales; Poaceae.